UGGAUUCACAAUGAUGUGAAAAUUUAUUUUUUAUAAAUUUUAAGUAAGAAAGUUAAAUUGGUAAUGUUACAUAAUUUUUUUUUUUUUUUUUUUGACUUUUCUAUUGGGAUAUUUAUUUUGGGCCAUCUAAAAAUAAAUUUUGUUUUUGGACGAAAUUUAAAAGCAAAGGGAAAAUUGGUAAUGUGUAAUUGGCGGGUCCCACUCUUGAUAUCAUGGGUUUUGUAAGUUUUGUAUAUAUGAUUGUAUAUACAUUUAUAUUGUAUCUUGUCUGAUGAAAAGGGGCCAGCCGAAGUGGAAGGAGGAAAACAAUUGAAAUGGUGAUGAUGAUUUUGCGGGGCCACUAGUGGAGAAUAAUGGGAUUGAAUUUUAAGGCCUGCUUGGAUCAGAACUCCCAAAACAGUUUUCUGUUUUGAAAGUUACCAAAAUCUGAAAACUGCCUUUUUGUUCACUUGGAUCUAUUUUCACAGAACAGUUUUUUAAAAACUGAGAACUCAUGGUAUCAGUUUUUAGAGAACACCUUUUUGCUGUUUUGUCAAUUUUUUAAAGCUCGGAGACCACAUAAUGAAAACACGGAGAACAAAAGUUGACUUAAAAAACGACGGAACCCUAUCUCGUUUAUAACGAAUGUCUUGGUUCCAUCAUCUCCUCAGCUAAAGAAGCCCUCCGUACCGUCCCUAUCCAAGCGCUCUCUCAGAUUUCUAAGCCAAAGUCUCUCUUCAACCUCUCUUUCAAUUUCUUGAAGCUUGUCUCUUAGACAAGAAAGUCGAUCUGAGAUUCUUUUCCUGCAAUUGUCUCUCUAUCCAGAAUUUCUUAAGACUUGGAAGAUCAAGCCCACUCUCUUAAACUCGAAGCUUGAAUAGAGAGCUAGUUGGUGCUCCAUCUGUGAAGAUCAAAGGCAACACUAAUAUACACUCAAAUUGAUUGAGAGACUAGAUGAUAUCAUAAGUUUUUUGAGAAAUUCUUCAGCUUCAGCAAAAGACCUAAAAGAAGGAACACCAUACAUCAUCAAGGGAAGAACUUUGAGGCCAAAAGCCUUAUGCAAUUGUCUCACUCUCAACACUGAAGCAAGAUCUCAUUUCAACAUUCUUCAACUUCACAAUUUCCUCACAAGCAUCAGUUACUUGAUUUCAAAAGCUUGUACAAUAGUCAAAGUUCUAUUCAUUGUGUAUGCAUGUAAGCUAAAUUAUAUUGUCUCUUAAACAUUUUAUCAUGCUAGUUUGGGUGGUUGUGGUGUGAGAAAGAUAUUGUAAACCGGGGUUGUUCUUGGUGAUUUAUUGUAAACAAGGAAAGUGAUUAGUGAAGAGUGUGUGUCCAUGUUGAAUUUUUAUGGCGGGUAUGCUCUCUUUAAGUAUGUACUAAAUACUUGAUCUUUUGGUUCAAUAUAAUAUUUCCAUUAAUUAAAAAAAAAAUUGUAUUUGAAUAUCA
This is a long non-coding RNA of Cornus florida, 1425 nucleotides long. RefSeq lists it as uncharacterized. The transcript is spliced from 2 exons. NCBI's taxonomy places the organism in Eukaryota, Viridiplantae, Streptophyta, Magnoliopsida, Cornales, Cornaceae. The record is from RefSeq and is a predicted model, not a curated record.